RNAcentral lists this ribosomal RNA (253 nucleotides) under uncultured bacterium. RNAcentral describes it as "partial 16S ribosomal RNA". It matches the Rfam family "Bacterial small subunit ribosomal RNA", at positions 524 to 776 of the family's 1533-position model. The record is from RNAcentral.
UACAGAGGGUGCAAGCGUUGUUCGGAAUUAUUGGGCGUAAAGCGCGUGUAGGCGGCUUGGCAAGUCGGGUGUGAAAUCCCUCAGCUCAACUGAGGAAGUGCGCCCGAAACUGCUUUGCUUGAGUGCCGGAGAGGAUGGCGGAAUUCCCCAAGUAGAGGUGAAAUUCGUAGAUAUGGGGAGGAACACCGGUGGCGAAGGCGGUCUGCUGGGCCGUUGCUGACGCUGAGGCGCGAAGGCGUGGGGAGCGAACGGG